AUGAGGGCACCCUGGAUUAUCAAGGAUUUCGAGGUGAGGGCACCCUGGAUUAUCAAGGAUUUCGAGGACCAGCGUCGCUGGCGGGAUCUCUCCAACGCCACGGCCAGCUCCCCAGUGAUCCACAGGCCACGUCCUCACAGCGCAUUCUGUGUUCCAGCAUCCCCGACCAAACCCAAGGUCUUCCCGCUGAGCCUCGAGGGCACCCAGUCAGAUAACGUGGUCGUCGCCUGCCUGGUCCAGGGCUUCUUCCCCCAGGAGCCACUCAACGUGACCUGGAACAAAAGCGGAGCGGGUGUGACCGUCAUAAACUUCCCGCCCAGCCAGGACGCCUCCGGGGGCCUGUACACCACGAGCAGCCAGCUGACCCUGCCAGCCGCACAGUGCCCAGCCAGCGAGUCCGUGACAUGCCACGUGGAGCACUACACGAAUCCCAGCCAGGAUGUGGCCGUGCCCUGCGUUCCCAAACCCAACUCUUGCUUAUGUGAUGAACCCCGACUGUCACUGCGCCGACCAGCCCUCGAGGACCUGCUCCUAGGUUCCGAGGCAAACCUCACGUGCACACUGACCGGCCUGAGAGAUCCCUCGGGUGCCACCUUCACCUGGACGCCCUCAAGUGGGAAGAACGCUGUCCAACAGUCACCUGAGCGUGACCCCUGUGGCUGCUACAGUGUGUCCAGUGUCCUGCCCGGCUGUGCUGAGCCAUGGAACAAUAGGGUGACCUUCACCUGCACUGCUAAUCACCCUGAGUUGAAGACCCAGCUAACUGCCACCAUCUCAAAAUCCGAAAACACAUUUCGGCCCGAGGUCCACCUGCUGCCGCCGCCGUCGGAGGAGCUGGCCCUGAACGAGCUGGUGACACUGACGUGCCUGGCACGAGGCUUCAGCCCCGAGGACGUGCUGGUUCGCUGGCUGAAGGGAACAGAGCAGCUGCCCCGUGACAAGUACCUGACUUGGGAAUCCCGGAAGGAGCCCAGCCAGGGCACCACCACCUUCGCCGUGACCAGCAUACUGCGCGUGGCAGCCGAGGACUGGAAGAAGGGGGACACCUUCUCCUGCAUGGUGGGCCACGAGGCCCUGCCGCUGGCCUUCACACAGAAGACCAUCGACCGCCUGGCGGGUAAACCCACCCACGUCAAUGUGUCUGUGGUCAUGGCGGAAGUGGACGGCACCUGCUACUGAGCCGCCUGCCUGUCCCCACCCCUGAAUAAACUCCAUGCUCCCCCAAGCA
Molecule: non-coding RNA, 1228 nt
Organism: Cercocebus atys (sooty mangabey)
Lineage: Eukaryota; Metazoa; Chordata; Mammalia; Primates; Cercopithecidae
Source: the annotation of a RefSeq genome assembly